UACGUAGGUGGCAAGCGUUAUCCGGAAUUAUUGGGCGUAAAGCGCGCGCAGGUGGUUUCUUAAGUCUGAUGUGAAAGCCCACGGCUCAACCGUGGAGGGUCAUUGGGAACUGGGAGACUUGAGUGCAGAAGAGGAAAGUGGAAUUCCAUGUGUAGCGGUGAAAUGCGUAGAGAUAUGGAGGAACACCAGUGGCGAAGGCGACUGUCUGGUCUGUAACUGACACUGAGGCGCGAAAGCGUGGGGAGCAAACAGG
This 253-nucleotide ribosomal RNA is filed under the name uncultured bacterium. Its description in RNAcentral is "partial 16S ribosomal RNA". It matches the Rfam family "Bacterial small subunit ribosomal RNA", at positions 524 to 776 of the family's 1533-position model. The record is from RNAcentral.